GGCAGCCAGCGCAGGGGCUUCUGCUGAGGGCGCAGGCGGAGCUUGAGGAAACCGCAGAUAAGUUUUUUUCACUUUGAAAGAUAGAGAUUAAUACAACUACUUAAAAAAUAUAGUCAAUAGGUUACUAAGAUAUUGCUUAGCGUUAAGCUUUUAACGUAAUUUUAAUAGCUUAAGAUUUUAAGAGAAAAUAUGAAGACUUAGAAGAGUAGCAUGACGAAGGAAAAGAUAAAAGAUUUCUAAAACAUGACGGAGGUUGAGAUGAAGCUUCUUCAUGGAGUAAAAAAUGUAUUUAAAAGAAAAUUGAGAGAAAGGACUACAGAGCCCUGAAUUAAUACCAAUAGAAGGGCAAUGCUUUUAGAUUAAAAUGAAGGUGACUUAAACAGCUUAAAGUUUACUUUAAAAGUUGUAGGUGAUUAAAAUAAUUUGAAGGCGAUCUUUUAAAAAGAGAUUAAACCGAAGGUGAUUAAAAGACCUUGAAAUCCAUGACGCAGGGAGAAUUGCGUCAUUUAAAGCCUAGUUAACGCAUUUAAACGCAGACGAAAAUGGAAAGAUUAGUUGGGAGUGGUAGGAUGAAACGAUUUGGAGAAGAUAGAAGUUUGAAGUGGAAAACUGGAAGACAGAAGUACAGGAAGGCGGAGAAAAGAAUAGAGAAGAUAGGGAAAUUAGAAGAUAAAAACAUACUUUUAGAAGAAAAAAGAUAAAUUUAAACCUGAAAAGUAGGAAGCAGAAGAAAAAAGACAAGCUAGGAAACAAAAAACUAAGGGCAAAAUGUACAAACUUAGAAGAAAAUUGGAAGAUAGAAACAAGAUAGAAAAUGAAAAUAUUGUCAAGAGUUUCAGAUAGAAAAUGAAAAACAAGCUAAGACAAGUAUUGGAGAAGUAUAGAAGAUAGAAAAAUAUAAAGCCAAAAAUUGGAUAAAAUAGCACUGAAAAAGUGAGGAAAUUAUUGGUAACCAAUUUAUUUUAAAAGCCCAUCAAUUUAAUUUCUGGUGGUGCAGAAGUUAGAAGGUAAAGCUUGAGAAGAUGAGGGUGUUUACGUAGACCAGAACCAAUUUAGAAGAAUACUUGAAGCUAGAAGGGGAAGUUGGUUAAAAAUCACAUCAAAAAAGGACUGGUGUAAUUUAAAAAAAAACUAAGGCAGAAGGCUUUUGGAAGAGUUAGAAGAAUUUGGAAGGCCUUAAAUAUAGUAGCUUAGUUUGAAAAAUGUGAAGGACUUUCGUAACGGAAGUAAUUCAAGAUCAAGAGUAAUUACCAACUUAAUGUUUUUGCAUUGGACUUUGAGUUAAGAUUAUUUUUUAAAUCCUGAGGACUAGCAUUAAUUGACAGCUGACCCAGGUGCUACACAGAAGUGGAUUCAGUGAAUCUAGGAAGACAGCAGCAGACAGGAUUCCGGGAACCAGUGUUUGAUGAAGCUAGGACUGAGGAGCAAGCGAGCAAGCAGCAGUUCGUGGUGAAGAUAGGAAAAGAGUCCAGGAGCCAGUGCGAUUUGGUGAAGGAAGCUAGGAAGAAGGAAGGAGCGCUAACGAUUUGGUGGUGAAGCUAGGAAAAAGGAUUCCAGAAAGGAGCGAGUGCGAUUUGGUGAUGAAGCUAGCAGGCGGCUUGGCUUGGCAACCACACGGAGGAGGCGAGCAGGCGUUGUGCGUAGAUAGAGGAUCCUAGACCAGCAUGCCAGUGUGCCAAGGCCACAGGGAAAACGAGUGGUUGGUAAAAAUCCGUGAGGUCGGCAAUAUGUUGUUUUUCUGGAACUUAUGGUAACCUUUUAUUUAUUUUCUAAUAUAAUGGGGGAGUUUCGUACUGAGGUGUAAAGGGAUUUAUAUGGGGAACGUAGGCCGAUUUCCGGGUGUUGUAGGUUUCUCUUUUUCAGGCUUAUACUCAUGAAUCUUGUCUGAAGCUUUUGAGGGCAGACUGCCAAGUCCUGGAGAAAUAGUAGAUGGCAAGUUUGUGGGUUUUUUUUUUUUUUUUUUUUUUUUUUACGAAUUUGAGGAAAACCAAAUGAAUUUGAUAGCCAAAUUGAGACAAUUUCAGCAAAUCUGUAAGCAGUUUGUAUGUUUAGUUGGGGUAAAUGAAGUAUUUCAGUUUUGUGAAUAGAUGACCUGUUUUUACUUCCUCACCCUGAAUUCGUUUUGUAAAUGUAGAGUUUGGAUGUGUAACUGAGGCGGGGGGGAGUUUUCAGUAUUUUUUUUUUGUGGGGGUGGGGGCAAAAUAUGUUUUCAGUUCUUUUUCCCUUAGGUCUGUCUAGAAUCCUAAAGGCAAAUGACUCAAGGUGUAACAGAAAACAAGAAAAUCCAAUAUCAGGAUAAUCAGACCACCACAGGUUUACAGUUUAUAGAAACUAGAGCAGUUCUCACGUUGAGGUCUGUGGAAGAGAUGUCCAUUGGAGAAAUGGCUGGUAGUUACUCUUUUUUCCCCCCACCCCCUUAAUCAGACUUUAAAAGUGCUUAACCCCUUAAACUUGUUAUUUUUUACUUGAAGCAUUUUGGGAUGGUCUUAACAGGGAAGAGAGAGGGUGGGGGAGAAAAUGUUUUUUUCUAAGAUUUUCCACAGAUGCUAUAGUACUAUUGACAAACUGGGUUAGAGAAGGAGUGUACCGCUGUGCUGUUGGCACGAACACCUUCAGGGACUGGAGCUGCUUUUAUCCUUGGAAGAGUAUUUCCAGUUGAAGCUGAAAAGUACAGCACAGUGCAGCUUUGGUUCAUAUUCAGUCAUCUCAGGAGAACUUCAGAAGAGCUUGAGUAGGCCAAAUGUUGAAGUUAAGUUUUCCAAUAAUGUGACUUCUUAAAAGUUUUAUUAAAGGGGAGGGGCAAAUAUUGGCAAUUAGUUGGCAGUGGCCUGUUACGGUUGGGAUUGGUGGGGUGGGUUUAGGUAAUUGUUUAGUUUAUGAUUGCAGAUAAACUCAUGCCAGAGAACUUAAAGUCUUAGAAUGGAAAAAGUAAAGAAAUAUCAACUUCCAAGUUGGCAAGUAACUCCCAAUGAUUUAGUUUUUUUCCCCCCAGUUUGAAUUGGGAAGCUGGGGGAAGUUAAAUAUGAGCCACUGGGUGUACCAGUGCAUUAAUUUGGGCAAGGAAAGUGUCAUAAUUUGAUACUGUAUCUGUUUUCCUUCAAAGUAUAGAGCUUUUGGGGAAGGAAAGUAUUGAACUGGGGGUUGGUCUGGCCUACUGGGCUGACAUUAAUUACAAUUAUGGGAAAUGCAAAAGUUGUUUGGAUAUGGUAGUGUGUGGUUCUCUUUUGGAAUUUUUUUCAGGUGAUUUAAUAAUAAUUUAAAACUACUAUAGAAACUUCAGAGCAAAGGAAGUGGCUUAAUGAUCCUGAAGGGAUUUCUUCUGAUGGUAGCUUUUGUAUUAUCAAGUAUCUCUUCGUUAUCAGAAGAGUUGCUUCAUUUCAUCUGGGAGCAGAAAACAGCAGGCAGCUGUUAACAGAUAAGUUUAACUUGCAUCUGCAGUAUUGCAUGUUAGGGAUAAGUGCUUAUUUUUAAGAGGUGUGGAGUUCUUAAAUAUCAACCAUGGCACUUUCUCCUGACCCCUUCCCUAGGGGAUUUCAGGAUUGAGAAAUUUUUCCAUCGAGCCUCUUUAAAAUUGUAGGACUUGUUCCUGUGGGCUUCAAUGAUGGGAUAGUACACUUCACUCAGAGGCAUUUGCAUCUUUAAAUAAUUUCUUAAAAGCCUCUAAAGUGAUCAGUGCCUUGAUGCCAACUAAGGAAAUUUGUUUAGCAUUGAAUCUCUGAAGGCUCUAUGAAAGGAAUAGCAUGAUGUGCUGUUAGAAUCAGAUGUUAUUGCUAAAAUUUACAUGUUGUGUUGUGAUGUAAAUUGUGUAGAAAACCAUUAAAUCAUUCAAAAUAAUAAACUAUUUUUAUUAGAGAAUGUAUACUUUUAGAAAGCUGUCUCCUUAUUUAAAUACAAUACUGUUUGUCUGUAGUUUAGUGUUGGGGCAAUCUUGGGGGGGAUUCUUCUCUAAUCUUUCAGAAACUUUGUCUGCGAACACUCUUUAAUGGACCAGAUCAGGAUUUGAGCGGAAGAACGAAUGUAACUUUAAGGCAGGAAAGACAAAUUUUAUUCUUCAUAAAGUGAUGAGCAUAUAAUAAUUCCAGGCACAUGGCAAUAGAGGCCCUCUAAAUAAGGAAUAAAUAACCUCUUAGACAGGUGGGAGAUUAUGAUCAGAGUAAAAGGUAAUUACACAUUUUAUUUCCAGAAAGUCAGGGGUCUAUAAAUUGACAGUGAUUAGAGUAAUACUUUUUCACAUUUCCAAAGUUUGCAUGUUAACUUUAAAUGCUUACAAUCUUAGAGUGGUAGGCAAUGUUUUACAUUAUUGACCUUAUAUAGGGAAGGGAGGGGGUGCCUGUGGGUUUUUAAAGAAUUUUCCUUUGCAGAGGCAUUUCAUCCUUCAUGAAGCUGUUCAGGAUUUUGAAUUGCAUAUGAGUGCUUGGCUCUUCCUUCUGUUCUCCUAACUUCACAGAGAAUGCAGUUGUCUUGACUUCAGGUCUGUCUGUUCUGUUGGCAAGUAAAUGCAGUACUGUUCUGAUCCCGCUGCUAUUAGAAUGCAUUGUGAAACGACUGGAGUAUGAUUAAAAGUUGUGUUCCCCAAUGCUUGGAGUAGUGAUUGUUGAAGGAAAAAAUCCAGCUGAGUGAUAAAGGCUGAGUGUUGAGGAAAUUUCUGCAGUUUUAAGCAGUCGUAUUUGUGAUUGAAGCUGAGUACAUUUUGCUGGUGUAUUUUUAGGUAAAAUGCUUUUUGUUCAUUUCUGGUGCUGGGAGGGGACUGAAGCCUUUAGUCUUUUCCAGAUGCAACCUUAAAAUCAGUGACAAGAAACAAAUUCCAAACAAGCAACAGUCUUCAAGAAAUUAAACUGGCAAGUGGAAAUGUUUAAACAGUUCAGUGAUCUUUAGUGCAUUGUUUUUGUGUGGGUUUCUCUCUCCCCUCCCUUGGUCUUAAUUCUUACAUGCAGGAACACUCAGCAGACACACGUAUGCGAAGGGCCAGAGAAGCCAGACCCAGUAAGAAAAAAUAGCCUAUUUACUUUAAAUAAACCAAACAUUCCAUUUUAAAUGUGGGGAUUGGGAACCACUAGUUCUUUCAGAUGGUAUUCUUCAGACUAUAGAAGGAGCUUCCAGUUGAAUUCACCAGUGGACAAAAUGAGGAAAACAGGUGAACAAGCUUUUUCUGUAUUUACAUACAAAGUCAGAUCAGUUAUGGGACAAUAGUAUGA
RNAcentral lists this long non-coding RNA (5195 nucleotides) under Pan troglodytes (chimpanzee). Its description in RNAcentral is "long non-coding RNA NONPTRT002698". The record is from RNAcentral. Lineage: Eukaryota; Metazoa; Chordata; Mammalia; Primates; Hominidae.